UCAGUAACUUUACCUUGUAUGAACGUCCAUGUUUCCAAAAUGAACACUUCGUGUUCUCCGUAAAAAAUGCACUUUAAUUUUUACACAAAUAUUUAAGCUUGUUUGUUGAUCAAAUAUUGAGCAUUUUUUUUGGCUGAAUAUCAAUCAAAUGCAUUGUCGAUCAGAAAUUAAAGUUUAAUGAAUUGUGGCUUGUAUAUAGCUGUGUAAAAAUUUAGUUUAUAUUUAUGUAUUUGAUGCAGAUGGUCAAGCUAGUUGUUGAGAUCGUCUUGGUGAAAGAAGUUUCUGUGAUGAAUUUUCUAAUUCGAGAAAUUCAAAAAUGGAAAGAAAUUAGAAUAUAAGAUAAUGUCAUUGAACGAUAUCGUCAAAAUAUCGUCUUUGGACUGUAUAUGUUGCAGAUGUCACCUGACGCUGUUGAAGUUGUACUGACAUAAUUUUGAGAAGUCUUUUCCUGAUAAAGUUGCAGCAGUGGCCGCAAACAUCGUGAAUAAGCUUGUUAAGUAGGUGCAGAGAAACCAAAUAUGAGCCUCCUAGUAAAGUAAGAAUCUUAGAGAGAUUGAUGGGACAUACAAAAAAGGAACUAAUAAAGUUAAGCAUCUUAUGAAGAAUCUUGCAGCAAGACAGCAAUCAUCUUCAGGAUUCAAGGGGAUUUGGAUAUCGCUGGACAGAAACCUCGAAGUGUACUUUAGUUCAAGGGAGAAGCAGUUCUUAUACGAUAUUAUGGCAAAUGGUCGAAAUGGAAUCGAUGUGGACAAGUUUGAUUACAUCGUCAGAGAUACCCGAGCGUGUGCUCUAGGAUGCAUUUUUCUGUUUCAAAGGUUAAUGGAGACAAUGAGAGUUCUGGGAGACGAUAUAUGCUAUGGAGCCUAAGAUUAUUUAACCAUCCACAAGUUAGUUGCCACACGAGCUGAUCUACACAGAACUAUUUAUACUCAUGCUAAAGUGAAGGCAAUAGAGCUUAUGGUGGUAGAUGCAGCAGUGAAAGCAAAUGAUUAUCUACAGAUAGUAUCCCAUAUAGAGCACCCUUCUCAAUACUGAAGAUCAAUGGUAGUUGGGUGAAAUGGAUGAUGAAAUGGCUGAUGGAUGACUGGAGAGUUCUUUUCUGAUGUUGAGGAAUAAGCCAAAGUAUUUCCCGCUGUUGGUUUUGUGCAAACAAUGACAUACAAGGAUUGAGAUGCGAUAUAGUGUUGAGGUACGUUUGGUGCCUUAAUUUUCUCGCUAUACAUAAAGAGAGUUACUUUUAUUUAUCAUACCAGAAUGUGAAUUCCUGUAUCUUAUGUUUUUAACAUUGGAUUUUAGCAAUAUAUAAUUAAAGUAUUUUUAAUUAUCAUACCAGAAAGUGAAAUCCUGUACCUUAAGUUUGUAACAUUAGGUUUUGUUACUUACACACUUUGGGGUUUCUUUCUUCAAAUUCACAUGUUGUAUCUGUUAUGCUUGAAGUUCCAUUGACGUUUGACAUUGGCUAUGAACUUGCCCAUGUCGAAUGUGGAUGCUUGACGCAUGCCCCUGACGAUGUCGGUUGUGGGCUAUGGGCGCUGGUUGCGUCAUUGCCGUCGUCAGCUACUUGCUCUUGCCCAUGUUGCUGUGCCCUUUGAAUCUAUAAUAUUUGAAGGUCAAAUCAUUCAUAUGUGCUUACUUAAGAUUGUAUCCCUGUGUUAAUGUUUUAGGACAAUAUGUUUACCUUAACUAAUAUACCUUUUUUGGCUAAAAGAUUCAAGUUGAAGAGUAUAAUUUCUGCGUAAUU
Capsicum annuum is the source of this 1741-nucleotide long non-coding RNA. RefSeq lists it as uncharacterized. The record is from RefSeq and is a predicted model, not a curated record. The transcript has 10 exons. Lineage: Eukaryota; Viridiplantae; Streptophyta; Magnoliopsida; Solanales; Solanaceae.